RNAcentral lists this ribosomal RNA (253 nucleotides) under uncultured bacterium. RNAcentral describes it as "partial 16S ribosomal RNA". It matches the Rfam family "Bacterial small subunit ribosomal RNA", at positions 524 to 776 of the family's 1533-position model. The record is from RNAcentral.
UACGAAGGGUGCUAGCGUUGUUCGGAAUUACUGGGCGUAAAGCGCGCGUAGGCUGCAAGGCAAGUCAGUGGUGAAAUCCCGGAGCUCAACUUCGGAACUGCCAUUGAAACUGCUUUGCUAGAAUCUCAGAGGGGAUAGCGGAAUUCCAAAUGUAGGGGUGAAAUCCGUAGAUAUUUGGAGGAACACCGGUGGCGAAGGCGGCUAUCUGGAUGAGUAUUGACGCUGAGGUGCGAAAGCGUGGGGAGCAAACAGG